RNAcentral lists this transfer RNA (88 nucleotides) under Pseudomonadota bacterium. Its description in RNAcentral is "tRNA-Leu". It matches the Rfam family "tRNA". Rfam says of the family: Transfer RNA (tRNA) molecules are approximately 80 nucleotides in length. Their secondary structure includes four short double-helical elements and three loops (D, anti-codon, and T loops). Lineage: Bacteria; Pseudomonadati; Pseudomonadota. RNAcentral also lists the same sequence under 1 other name. The record is from RNAcentral.
GGGCGGGUGGCGGAACCUGGGAGACGCGCUGGACUUAGGAUCCAGUGGCUUCAAAGCCGUGCGGGUUCAAAUCCCGCCCCGCCCACCA